Molecule: long non-coding RNA, 467 nt
Organism: Cephus cinctus (wheat stem sawfly)
Lineage: Eukaryota; Metazoa; Arthropoda; Insecta; Hymenoptera; Cephidae
Exons: 3
Source: RefSeq, a predicted model, not a curated record
CGGAAUCCGCCAGUUCCGGGUCCCUCAGUGUCUCUGUCAUCUUAAGAAAUGCUCAACCGAUCUUUUACGUCGCCGAUUGAAAUUUUUCUUUUAAUUCCUGACGUUCUCUGAUAUCCUGCAGGAUGCCUCUCAGCCAGCAAGUAGUCGCAGUUCCGAAAGAUUUAUCUCGAAAUAGUCAAAGUCACUGAGUAAUUAUCGCCAUCGUCGAACGGAAGUGCCUUCAAGAACCGGACGCCAGGAAGCGAUCUUUCUCGCAAAGAGAAAAUCUCCGGAAACCGUUUAGUCGAUCCAGUGUCAAAUUGUGCUCGAAAUAUGUAGGAAGAUAGGGCUGACAAGUCCAGAUGUAAAAUGGAAAAAUGGAUGAUGAAUCGGAGGAAAAAACGUGCGAGCUGUCGUGCAGCCCGCGAGGAACUGAGAUCGGCACUCUGGGACAUCCCAUCCUGGACCUUCUGAUGAUCUGUAUAGAG